AGAGUUUGAUCCUGGCUCAGAUUGAACGCUGGCGGCAUGCCUUACACAUGCAAGUCGAACGGCAGCACGGGAGUAAUCCUGGUGGCGAGUGGCGAACGGGUGAGUAAUAUAUCGGAACGUGCCCAGUCGUGGGGGAUAACGCAGCGAAAGCUGUGCUAAUACCGCAUACGAUCUAUGGAUGAAAGCGGGGGAUCGCAAGACCUCGCGCGAUUGGAGCGGCCGAUAUCAGAUUAGCUAGUUGGUGGGGUAAAGGCCCACCAAGGCGACGAUCUGUAGCUGGUCUGAGAGGACGACCAGCCACACUGGAACUGAGACACGGUCCAGACUCCUACGGGAGGCAGCAGUGGGGAAUUUUGGACAAUGGGCGCAAGCCUGAUCCAGCAAUGCCGCGUGCAGGAUGAAGGCCUUCGAGUUGUAAACUGCUUUUGUACGGAACGAAACGGUCGCCUCUAAUAAAGGUGGCUAAUGACGGUACCGUAAGAAUAAGCACCGGCUAACUACGUGCCAGCAGCCGCGGUAAUACGUANGGUGCGAGCGUUAAUCGGAGUUACUGGGCGUAAAGCGUGCGCAGGCGGUGAUGUAAGACAGAUGUGAAAUCCCCGGGCUCAACCUGGGACCUGCAUUUGUGACUGCAUCGCUAGAGUACG
Molecule: ribosomal RNA, 647 nt
Filed under: uncultured bacterium
Lineage: Bacteria
Description: bacterial SSU rRNA
Rfam family: Bacterial small subunit ribosomal RNA
Source: RNAcentral